GUCAGCAGCUAUAUCACCCUUCAACUUACAACUGGCAACCCACUGAACUUAAGCAGGUGUGAGCCUGGCUAGUACCUGGAUGGGAGUUCUCCUGGGAAAGCUAGGGUUGCUACUGGAA
RNAcentral lists this ribosomal RNA (118 nucleotides) under Lepisosteus oculatus (spotted gar). The record is from RNAcentral. Lineage: Eukaryota; Metazoa; Chordata; Actinopteri; Semionotiformes; Lepisosteidae.